Centropristis striata (black sea bass) is the source of this 2490-nucleotide long non-coding RNA. RefSeq lists it as uncharacterized. NCBI's taxonomy places the organism in Eukaryota, Metazoa, Chordata, Actinopteri, Perciformes, Serranidae. The transcript is spliced from 6 exons. The record is from RefSeq and is a predicted model, not a curated record.
GAUUUCAACAUUUAAACUACAGUGCAGUAAUGUUUAGACAACCUCCAAGUCCUGACUUCUAAUGACUGCAAGAACAGCGGACACCUCAACCCAAUUCAACUGGGAAAAUCCGGUUGGAGAAACCAGAACAAUGCUAUCAGUGAGGCCUUGGAAAAAGCAGUAGCUCCCCUGUGUGGUUUGCUGGUGUAAGAGCACCUGGCACGGCAGGGGGAGAGGUGGGCAUUUGGGUACCAAGACGUAACCUGCACAACUCCUCCACUACAGCAAAAGCAGGUAGGGGACCUUCAGAGGAGCAGAGAGUGUGGCAACAUCGUGGGUGGUAGAUACUUCUUCUAACACGGCACCCCAACGCAUCGUCUUCCAAACAUUCCCGCUCCACCUCUCACCCCCAGUGAAGGAAUGCUUUCAGCUGGACUCACCUGGUCGAAGGGCCGAGGUCAGGCCUCUGGAGGCUGAAGUAUUCUAAUUUUAAAUAGCAGAAGCAGGAAAUGGGAAUCAGCUUAAUACUGUGACAGAGAGCCGUCCUUGACCAAAUAACAAGAGUAAACAGGAGUCAGUCCGCUGGGAUCUCUGCUGCUGCUUUCAAUGAUGCCGCAGCCCUCCACUGGGAGCCAUCAGGUCUAAUGAUUGCUCUGCAGAGAUGAAUCGCCAUUUGUUAUGGAUAGAUGACAACCUGCUGGAUGUCAUUCCACCCCAACGCUGCAGAUAAUUAAACUCUUGCCAAGCUGCAGAUGAGGAAAACCCCAGAGCAGUUGGCCAGCAGGCCCGUCAGCCAGUCGGCCGGCCAGUCCGCUCUGCAGAGGGCCCUGCCAAUCAUCAUCUGCUUCUUCUCAUGCUGUUUUGUACGAGUCUUUCCAUUGCACACGUGCGAUGAUGUACCUGCUGGGGUUAAAGCAAUACACACGUCUCAGGGCCUGUGACAUUUCCAAUAGUUCUCACAGAAACAUUUCAUACUGAUACUAAGCAUUUCUAAAGAAGAAGUUGCUGUAUUCAAGUACGUUUGAGUCAAAAAUUUGGAAACCAACUAUUGUGUGCAGACUGAAUACCAAUGCACAUGUGGUCACAUUAUGUUAAAUAUGACUUAACAUAACAUAAUGUCAGACACAACACAAUAUAAUUAGAUAUGGUAACAAUGCCACAUUAAUGUCAUUGCUUGUUUUAGUCAGCCACAUCUUAAGCAACCAUAAGCCAUUCCAGUUGAUGAUUUCUUUAAGGUCAACCAGCAGCAGUUAUGUGUUUGCACCUGUGCACACAUCUCCUGUACACUCCCCAUCUGUGUGUCUCUUUGUCUUUGUGUACUUAUGUAUGUUUUCUUAACCUUUCUUUAUCAAAGGGAGGUUUGCUGAAUACAUAUGCUUCUGUUUGACAAUGUCCUAUUUCUGAAUCUUCGAUACACUGAGCAGCACAUAAUUAUAUUUUUGAGGGAGGAGAGAAUUUCAUGGAUUCCCAGCCCGGCUUUUAACAAAUACUGUUUGCCAUUCAAUCUGCUGUCACAUCAUAUUGAGUUAGCUAAGAGGCAGUGAGGCUAAUGUCUACAUUUUGCCACUUUUCCUUUAAAAAGUGACAACAAACUGAAACGUUUUCUCAAAAAACGUUAAUACAAAAUAAUAGUCUUUACUUAGAAUAUUCAAGAAUAUUUGUCCUGCCGGGACAACCGGGGGUACUUUGCCUGAAAAUCCUUUUUCACAGCAGAUAUUCUAUUCUAUAUAUUGUGAGCAGGAAAAACCAACAAUAUCUCCAACCUAAACAACAGAAUAGGUAAUUUGUCAAUACCACCAUUAAUGACAAAUAUGAACGUUUGUCAGAAUGAGCAUUUCCCGGAUCACGGCACAGGUCAUCAUGCAUACAUGUACGGCUCGUGGUUGUAAAAAAGGCUGCAGUUUAACCUACAAAACCACUGACCUAGCUUUAAGGCAAAAUACCUUCCUGGUUAGGCGUUAUAAAAGACAGUUUAAACACUAAAUAAAUAUACGUCAAUGCUGGAAGUGAAGUAAAUGACGUGAGCCACGUAAGUUACGUAGAAAGUAAAUUUUGGAAACUUUUGUAAAUGUAAGUCAUAUUUUGCUGCAUGUACAACCGCCUCAAAUUGAUGUUUUUGAGAGAAGACUUAAGAACUAUUAUUACAUACUGAGUCUAAAAGCAAAAAUAAUAAUAAUUCAUAUUUUCCCUUAACAUUUUCCUUAUUCAAUUAACUUUUAAAUUAUAUUGAUGUUCAUUUAACAACACUACGUGUCUGUUUACAGUCUGUUUUUAUGCUCUGUCCUAAAUGGCAUAGUAGGCUAUAUAUAUUUCUAUUGUAAUUCAUAUUUUGCCAUGAGAACAAUCACAAAGAACACUGAUUCAAACAUUUUUUAAGAAUCCGUGCCAAAAAACUCAACGUGUAUUUUUUGUUUAACAUAGAAUGUAAACUCUUAUUUAGAUUGUAAAAGCCUUGAAAAUAAAAAAGCGGGGAGAAAAAAGCCCUUUGACAUCAUCAAGAAUAAAGACAUA